RNAcentral lists this transfer RNA (61 nucleotides) under Erinaceus europaeus (western European hedgehog). It matches the Rfam family "tRNA", at positions 6 to 65 of the family's 71-position model. From Rfam's summary of the family: Transfer RNA (tRNA) molecules are approximately 80 nucleotides in length. Lineage: Eukaryota; Metazoa; Chordata; Mammalia; Eulipotyphla; Erinaceidae. The record is from Rfam by way of RNAcentral.
UGUAGUUCAGUGGUAGAACAUUUACUUUAUAUUUAUGAAAUCCAGGGUUUGAUUCCCAGCA